GAUGAACGCUGGCGGCGUGCCUAAUACAUGCAAGUCGAGCGAACGGACGAGAAGCUUGCUUCUCUGAUGUUAGCGGCGGACGGGUGAGUAACACGUGGAUAACCUACCUAUAAGACUGGGAUAACUUCGGGAAACCGGAGCUAAUACCGGAUGACAUUUUGAACCGCAUGGUUCAAAAGUGAAAGACGGUCUUGCUGUCACUUAUAGAUGGAUCCGCGCUGCAUUAGCUAGUUGGUAAGGUAACGGCUUACCAAGGCAACGAUGCAUAGCCGACCCGAGAGGGUGAUCGGCCACACUGGAACUGAGACACGGUCCAGACUCCUACGGGAGGCAGCAGUAGGGAAUCUUCCGCAAUGGGCGAAAGCCUGACGGAGCAACGCCGCGUGAGUGAUGAAGGUCUUCGGAUCGUAAAACUCUGUUAUUAGGGAAGAACAUAUGUGUAAGUAACUGUGCACAUCUUGACGGUACCUAAUCAGAAAGCCACGGCUAACUACGUG
This 497-nucleotide ribosomal RNA is filed under the name uncultured bacterium. RNAcentral describes it as "partial 16S ribosomal RNA". It matches the Rfam family "Bacterial small subunit ribosomal RNA", at positions 28 to 507 of the family's 1533-position model. The record is from RNAcentral.